UAUACCCAGUGGCGGACGGGUGAGUAACGCGUGGGCAACCUGCCCCGUGCCGGGGGAUACCGCCUGGAAACAGGCGCUAAUACCGCAUAAGCGCAUACAGCCGCAUGGGUGUAUGCGGAAAGCUCCGGCGGCACGGGAUGGGCCCGCGCCCGAUUAGCCAGUUGGCGGGGUAACGGCCCACCAAAGCGACGAUCGGUAGCCGGCCUGAGAGGGCGGACGGCCACAUUGGGACUGAGACACGGCCCAAACUCCUACGGGAGGCAGCAG
Molecule: ribosomal RNA, 267 nt
Filed under: uncultured bacterium
Lineage: Bacteria
Description: partial 16S ribosomal RNA
Rfam family: Bacterial small subunit ribosomal RNA
Source: RNAcentral